This 89-nucleotide transfer RNA is filed under the name Micromonosporaceae bacterium. It matches the Rfam family "tRNA". From Rfam's summary of the family: Transfer RNA (tRNA) molecules are approximately 80 nucleotides in length. Their secondary structure includes four short double-helical elements and three loops (D, anti-codon, and T loops). The record is from Rfam by way of RNAcentral. RNAcentral also lists the same sequence under 1 other name. Lineage: Bacteria; Bacillati; Actinomycetota; Actinomycetes; Micromonosporales; Micromonosporaceae.
GGAGGCUUCGCCUAGUCUGGUCUAUGGCGCCGCACUGCUAAUGCGGUUUGGGUUGACGCCCAUCCGGGGUUCAAAUCCCCGAGCCUCCG